UUAUUGCCCUGUCAUCACGCCGACUCUGCCAGUGGUACACGGUUCGGCUCUGCAUCAGCAGUUCGCAUCCACGACGAACGCUGAUACGGUAAGCCCCCGGGAGAAAAUGCACCGUCUGGCGCUUCUGAGUCGGCCUC
RNAcentral lists this small RNA (137 nucleotides) under Serratia odorifera DSM 4582. RNAcentral describes it as "isrN Hfq binding RNA". It matches the Rfam family "isrN Hfq binding RNA". Lineage: Bacteria; Pseudomonadati; Pseudomonadota; Gammaproteobacteria; Enterobacterales; Yersiniaceae. The record is from Rfam by way of RNAcentral.